UGGGGCUCAGUGGUAGAGCAUCUGCUGCACAUGCACAAGAUUCCAGGUUCGAUUCCUGGUAUCUCAA
RNAcentral lists this transfer RNA (67 nucleotides) under Sphaerodactylus townsendi. RNAcentral's name for it is "tRNA-Val". It matches the Rfam family "tRNA". Rfam says of the family: Transfer RNA (tRNA) molecules are approximately 80 nucleotides in length. Their secondary structure includes four short double-helical elements and three loops (D, anti-codon, and T loops). The record is from RNAcentral. Lineage: Eukaryota; Metazoa; Chordata; Lepidosauria; Squamata; Sphaerodactylidae.